GUAGGUGGCAAGCGUUGUCCGGAAUUAUUGGGCGUAAAGCGCGUGCAGGCGGUUCUUUAAGUCUGAUGUGAAAGCCCACGGCUCAACCGUGGAGGGUCAUUGGAAACUGGAGAACUUGAGUACAGAAGAGGAAAGCGGAAUUCCACGUGUAGCGGUGAAAUGCGUAGAGAUGUGGAGGAACACCAGUGGCGAAGGCGGCUUUCUGGUCUGUAACUGACGCUGAGGCGCGAAAGCGUGGGGAGCAAACAGGAUUAGAUACCCUGGUAGUCCACGCCGUAAACGAUGAGUGCUAAGUGUUAGGGGGGUUUUCCGCCCCCCUUAGUGCUGCGGCUAACGCAUUAAGCACUCCGCCUGGGGAGUACGGCCGCAAGGCUG
Molecule: ribosomal RNA, 375 nt
Filed under: uncultured organism
Description: partial 16S ribosomal RNA
Rfam family: Bacterial small subunit ribosomal RNA
Source: RNAcentral